RNAcentral lists this ribosomal RNA (429 nucleotides) under uncultured bacterium. RNAcentral's name for it is "partial 16S ribosomal RNA". It matches the Rfam family "Bacterial small subunit ribosomal RNA", at positions 29 to 503 of the family's 1533-position model. The record is from RNAcentral.
AACGAACGCUGGCGGCAGGCCUAACACAUGCAAGUCGAGCGAGACCUUCGGGUCUAGCGGCGGACGGGUGAGUAACGCGUGGGAACGUGCCCUUUUCUACGGAAUAGCCUCGGGAAACUGAGCGUAAUACCGUAUACGCCCUUUGGGGGAAAGAUUUAUCGGAGAAGGAUCGGCCCGGGUUGGAUUAGGUAGUUGGUGGGGUAAUGGCCUACCAAGCCUACGAUCCAUAGCUGGUUUGAGAGGAUGAUCAGCCACACUGGGACUGAGACACGGCCCAGACUCAGGCGGGAGGGGGGAGUGGGGAAUUUUAGACAAGGGGGGCACCGCUGAUCUACCCAUGCGGGGUGAGGGAUGAAGGCGUGAGGGUUGUAAAGCUUUUGCAGCUGGAAAGAUAAGGAAGGUACAAGAAGAAGAAGCCCCGGCUACCUC